Molecule: unclassified non-coding RNA, 206 nt
Filed under: Hevea brasiliensis (rubber tree)
Lineage: Eukaryota; Viridiplantae; Streptophyta; Magnoliopsida; Malpighiales; Euphorbiaceae
Source: RNAcentral
AACCAAACUGACACAAAGAUGAUUUCUAACAAAUCUAAAACAUUUGGACUUACAUGUUACAAACUUCAAAGACAAUAAAUGAGGCUAGGUGUAGAAAAGGCAAGGCCAGACUAGAUAACAUAGAUGAUUCCUAACAGGUCUAAAACAUUUGGACUUGUAGAUUUACAAACUUCAAAGACAAUAAAUGAGGCUAGGUGUAGAAAAGG